UUGGACUCUGUCGUGUUACAGCGACUGGUCUGAAAUGCCUGAGUGCACCCUGCUGUUGCAGCGUCUUCAGUGUGAUAAGCAUCUUCACUGAUUCAAGUUCCUUCGGGACACGUAGCAUUGUGGGCUCUGUGCUGACAAACCGUCUUUGGACAAUCUUUGACAAUUUGACCUCAAAUCGGGUGGGACUACCCGCUGAACUUAAGCAUAUCAAUAAGCGGAGGAAAAGAAACUAACAAGGAUUCCCCUAGUAACGGCGAGUGAAGAGGGAAAAGCUCAAAUUUUGAAUCUGGUGUCUUUGGCGCCCGAGUUGUAAUCUAGAGAAGUGUUUUCUGCCUCGGACCACACAUAAAUUCCCUGGAAUGGGGUGUCAUAGAGGGUGAGAAUCCCGUUUGUGGUGUGGACUACCUUGGCUCUGUGAUACACUCUCAACGAGUCGAGUUGUUUGGGAAUGCAGCUCAAAAUGGGUGGUAAAUUCCAUCUAAAGCUAAAUAUUGGCGAGAGACCGAUAGCGAACAAGUACCGUGAGGGAAAGAUGAAAAGCACUUUGGAAAGAGAGUGAAACAGUACGUGAAAUUGUUGAAAGGGAAGCGUUUGAAGUCAGUCACAUCGGUCGGAAUUCAGCCUGGCUUUGCCUGGUGUAUUUUCUGGCAGAUGGGUCAGCGUCAAUUUUGACUGAGGGAAAAAGACUUGAGGAAUGUGGCUGUCUUCGGGCAGUGUUAUAGCCUCUUGUUGUAUGUCUCAGUUGGGAUUGAGGACCGCAGCACGCCUUAUGGCCGGGGUUCGCGCCCUCGGAACGUGCU
This 800-nucleotide ribosomal RNA is filed under the name uncultured Sebacinales. Its description in RNAcentral is "eukaryotic LSU rRNA". The stretch from base 166 to 800 matches the Rfam family "Eukaryotic large subunit ribosomal RNA", at positions 1 to 613 of the family's 3401-position model. Lineage: Eukaryota; Fungi; Basidiomycota; Agaricomycetes; Sebacinales. The record is from RNAcentral.